CCCUUAGAUGUUCUGGGCCGCACGCGCGCUACACUGUUCGACGCAGCGAGUCUUAACCUUGACCGAAAGGUUUGGGUAAUCUUCAGCAAAGUCGAACGUGAUGGGGAUCGAUCAUUGCAAUUAUUGAUCGUGAACGAGGAAUUCCUAGUAAGCGCGAGUCAUCAGCUCGUGCUGAUUACGUCCCUGCCCUUUGUACACACCGCCCGUCGCUCCUACCGAUUGAGUGCUCAGGUGAAUAAUUCGGACUGCAGCAAUGUUUGGAUCCCGAACGUUGCAGCGGAAAGUUUAGUGAACCUUAUCACUUAGAGGAAGGAGAAGUCGUAACA
This 326-nucleotide ribosomal RNA is filed under the name uncultured eukaryote. RNAcentral describes it as "partial 18S ribosomal RNA". It matches the Rfam family "Eukaryotic small subunit ribosomal RNA", at positions 1470 to 1796 of the family's 1831-position model. The record is from RNAcentral.